RNAcentral lists this ribosomal RNA (430 nucleotides) under uncultured bacterium. Its description in RNAcentral is "bacterial SSU rRNA". It matches the Rfam family "Bacterial small subunit ribosomal RNA", at positions 28 to 440 of the family's 1533-position model. The record is from RNAcentral.
GAUGAACGCUGGCGGCGUGCCUAACACAUGCAAGUCGAGCGCGAUUAAGUGGAGUGAGGACUUCGGUCUAAGUGAAGCUUAUGAAAGCGGCGGACGGGUGAGUAACGCGUGGGUAACCUGCCCCAUACAAAGGGAUAGCCACUGGAAACGGUGAUUAAUACCUUAUAAGUCGGUAGUCUCGCAUGAGACAGCCGACAAAGAUUUAUCGGUAUGGGAUGGACCCGCGUCUGAUUAGCUAGUUGGUGAGGUAACGGCUCACCAAGGCGACGAUCAGUAGCCGACCUGAGAGGGUGAUCGGCCACACUGGAACUGAGACACGGUCCAGACUCCUACGGGAGGCAGCAGUGGGGAAUAUUGCACAAUGGGCGCAAGCCUGAUGCAGCAACGCCGCGUGAGUGAUGAAGGCUUCGGGUCGUAAACUACUGUCCUA